GCUCAGAUUGAACGCUGGCGGCAUGCUUUACACAUGCAAGUCGAACGGCAGCACGAAAGAGCUUGCUCUUUUGGUGGCGAGUGGCGAACGGGUGAGUAAUACAUUGGAACGUACCGAGUAAUGGGGGAUAACUGUCCGAAAGGAUGGCUAAUACCGCAUACGCUCUGAGGAGGAAAGCGGGGGACCUUCGGGCCUCGCGUUAUUCGAGCGGCCAAUGUCUGAUUAGCUAGUUGGUGGGGUAAAGGCCUACCAAGGCGACGAUCAGUAGUGGGUCUGAGAGGAUGAUCCGCCACACUGGGACUGAGACACGGCCCAGACUCCUACGGGAGGCAGCAGUGGGGAAUUUUGGACAAUGGGCGAAAGCCUGAUCCAGCCAUGCCGCGUGUCUGAAGAAGGCCUUCGGGUUGUAAAGGACUUUUGUCAGGGAAGAAAGGGUUUGGGUUAAUACCCUGAGCUUAUGACGGUAC
RNAcentral lists this ribosomal RNA (467 nucleotides) under Neisseria arctica. RNAcentral describes it as "bacterial SSU rRNA". It matches the Rfam family "Bacterial small subunit ribosomal RNA", at positions 22 to 478 of the family's 1533-position model. Lineage: Bacteria; Pseudomonadati; Pseudomonadota; Betaproteobacteria; Neisseriales; Neisseriaceae. The record is from RNAcentral.